AGAGUUUUGAGUCCUGGCUCAGGACGACGCUGGCGGCGUGCUUAACACAUGCAAGUCGAACGCUGAAGCCCAGCUUGCUGGGUGGAUGAGUGGCGAACGGGUGAGUAACACGUGAGUAACCUGCCCCUUCUUUGGGAUAACGCCCGGAAACGGGUGCUAAUACUGGAUAUUCACUGGCCUUCGCAUGGGGGUUGGUGGAAAGGUUUUUUCUGGUGGGGGAUGGGCUCGCGGCCUAUCAGCUUGUUGGUGGGGUGAUGGCCUACCAAGGCUUUGACGGGUAGCCGGCCUGAGAGGGUGACCGGUCACAUUGGGACUGAGAUACGGCCCAGACUCCUACGGGAGGCAGCAGUGGGGAAUAUUGCACAAUGGGCGAAAGCCUGAUGCAGCGACGCCGCGUGAGGGAUGACGGCCUUCGGGUUGUAAACCUCUUUCGCUCAUGGUCAAGCCGCAACACUUGGUUGUGGUGAGGGUAGUGGGUAAAGAAGCGCCGGCUAACUACGUG
This 502-nucleotide ribosomal RNA is filed under the name uncultured Actinomyces sp. RNAcentral's name for it is "bacterial SSU rRNA". It matches the Rfam family "Bacterial small subunit ribosomal RNA", at positions 1 to 507 of the family's 1533-position model. The record is from RNAcentral. Lineage: Bacteria; Bacillati; Actinomycetota; Actinomycetes; Actinomycetales; Actinomycetaceae.